GACGAACGCUGGCGGCGUGCUUAACACAUGCAAGUCGAACGGAAAGGCCCUGCUUUUGUGGGGUGCUCGAGUGGCGAACGGGUGAGUAACACGUGAGUAACCUGCCCUUGACUUUGGGAUAACUUCAGGAAACUGGGGCUAAUACCGGAUAGGAGCUACUGCUGCAUGGUGGGGGUUGGAAAGUUUCGGCGGUUGGGGAUGGACUCGCGGCUUAUCAGCUUGUUGGUGGGGUAGUGGCUUACCAAGGCUUUGACGGGUAGCCGGCCUGAGAGGGUGACCGGCCACAUUGGGACUGGGAUGCGGCACAGACUCCUACGGGAGGCAGCAGUGGGGAAUAUUGCACUAUGGGCGGAAGCCUGAUGCAGCAACGCCGCGUGCGGGAUGACGUCCUUCGGGUUGUAAACCGCUUUCGCCUGUGACGAAGCGUGAGUGACGGUAAUGGGUAAAGAAGCACCGGCUAACUACGUG
This 468-nucleotide ribosomal RNA is filed under the name uncultured bacterium. RNAcentral's name for it is "partial 16S ribosomal RNA". It matches the Rfam family "Bacterial small subunit ribosomal RNA", at positions 28 to 507 of the family's 1533-position model. The record is from RNAcentral.